UAGGGAAUCUUCCGCAAUGGACGCAAGUCUGACGGAGCAACGCCGCGUGAGUGAAGAAGGAUUUCGGUUCGUAAAACUCUGUUGUUAGAGAAGAACAGCGCAUAGAGUAACUGUUAUGCGUGUGACGGUAUCUAACCAGAAAGCCACGGCUAACUACGUGCCAGCAGCCGCGGUAAUACGUAGGUGGCAAGCGUUGUCCGGAUUUAUUGGGCGUAAAGCGAGCGUAGGCGGUCAAUUAAGUCUGCUGUGAAAGCCCCCGGCUCAACCGGGGAGGGUCAUUGGAAACUGGUUGACUUGAGUGCAGAAGAGGAGAGUGGAAAUCCAUGUGUAGCGGUAAAAUGCGUAGAUAUAUGGAGGAACACCAGUGGCGAAGGCGACUCUCUGGUCUGUAACUGACGAUGACGCUCGACAGCGUGGGUAGCAAACAGG
Molecule: ribosomal RNA, 429 nt
Filed under: Bacteroidota bacterium
Lineage: Bacteria; Pseudomonadati; Bacteroidota
Description: Bacteroidetes bacterium partial 16S ribosomal RNA
Rfam family: Bacterial small subunit ribosomal RNA
Source: RNAcentral